Molecule: long non-coding RNA, 1072 nt
Filed under: Lonchura striata (white-rumped munia)
Lineage: Eukaryota; Metazoa; Chordata; Aves; Passeriformes; Estrildidae
Description: domestica (Bengalese finch) lncRNA (ENSLSDG00000012004.1)
Source: RNAcentral
AAAAGACAUCCAAGAUCAUCAACUCCAACCCUGCACCGCCAGGUCCAACACUGAGCCACGGAUGGCGCCUGCCCCUGAAGCCGGGGAGAAGCCACCCAAGCUGUGUUUGGGAUGGGUGGUUACGGUGGGUAAUUAAUUCUUCUUUGGGGCCAAACAGCCCAAAAUCCUGCACGGGGCUGGGAGCAGGGAAGCACAGCAGGCGGGGAGGCUCCAUCCCGGGACAAGAGGACCGUCCAUCCCGAGCCGCCUCCAUCCCGAGCCGCCUCCAUCCCGAGCCGCCUCCAUCGGAGCCCCACGGAGCUUACCCGGCCCGGGCUCCCCGCAGCCCUGCCCGCUCCUUCCUGCUUCCUGCCGCCGGCGGAAAGGCCGGGGCCGCUCCUUUUCCCGUGCCGGUUCUCCCAUCCCGCCGGGGUUCCCUUCCUUGUCCCGGCUCUCCCAUCCCGCCGGGGUUCCCUUCCUUGUCCCGGUGCUCCCAUCCCGCCGGGGUUUCUCUUCCUUGUCCCGGCUCUCCCAUCUCACCGGGGUUUCCUUUUCCCAGCCCGGCUCUUCCAUCCCGCCGAUGUUCCCUUCCUUGUCCCGGUUCUCCCAUCCCGCCGGGGUUUCUGUUCCUUGUCCCGGCUCUCCCAUCCCGCCGGGGUUUCCUUUUCCCAGCCCGGUUGUGCCAUCCCGCUAGGGUUUGUCUUCCUUGUCCCGGCUCUCCCGUUUCGCUAGAGUUUCCUUUCCCCGUCCCGUUUCUCCCAUCCCGCUCCGGUUCCCUUUCCCCAUCCCGACUCUCCCAUCCCGCUGGGGUUUCCUUUUUCCUUUCCCCGUCCCAGCUCUCCCAUUCCGCUAAGGUUGUCUUUUCCCAUCCAGGCUCUCCCAUCCCGCCGGGGUUUCCUUUCCCCGGCCCGGCUCUCCCAUCCCACCGGGGUUUCCUUUUCCCAUCCAGGCUCUCCCAUCCCGCCGGGGUUUCUGUUCCUUGUCCCGGCUCUCCCAUCCCGCCGGGGUUCCCUUUCCCCGGCCCGGCUGUCCCACCCCGCUCCGGUUCCCCUGCUCUCGCCGGGAUCAGCACAGCGCUAAGGUCCCUUGCCAC